Molecule: ribosomal RNA, 253 nt
Filed under: uncultured bacterium
Lineage: Bacteria
Description: partial 16S ribosomal RNA
Rfam family: Bacterial small subunit ribosomal RNA
Source: RNAcentral
UACGUAGGGGGCAAGCGUUGUCCGGAAUCAUUGGGCGUAAAGCGCAUGUAGGCGGCUUGUUAAGUCACGUGUGAAAGCCCCAGGCUCAACCUGGGAAGUGCGCGUGAAACUGGCGAGCUUGAAUCCUGGAGAGGGUGGCGGAAUUCCCGGUGUAGAGGUGAAAUUCGUAGAUAUCAGGAGGAACACCGAUGGCGAAGGCAGGUCUCUGGGCCACUACUGACGCUGAGAAGCGAAAGCAUGGGGAGCGAACAGG